Non-coding RNA from Triticum aestivum (bread wheat), 125 nucleotides. Lineage: Eukaryota; Viridiplantae; Streptophyta; Magnoliopsida; Poales; Poaceae. The record is from Rfam.
UUUGUACUCCCUCCGUCCGGAAUUACUUGUCGCUGAAAUGGAUAAAAAUGAAUGUUUCUAUAACUAAAAUACAUCUAGAUACAUCCAUUUCUAUGACAAGUAUUUCCGGACGGAGGGAGUAAUCU